GUGGUAGCUCAGUGGUAGAGCAUCUGUCUCGUGCACAGAAGGUCCCAGGUUCAGUCCCUGCCAUUUCCA
This 69-nucleotide transfer RNA is filed under the name Podarcis lilfordi (Lilford's wall lizard). RNAcentral's name for it is "tRNA.Thr". It matches the Rfam family "tRNA". Rfam says of the family: Transfer RNA (tRNA) molecules are approximately 80 nucleotides in length. The record is from RNAcentral. Lineage: Eukaryota; Metazoa; Chordata; Lepidosauria; Squamata; Lacertidae.